This 65-nucleotide transfer RNA is filed under the name Diploptera punctata (Pacific beetle cockroach). Its description in RNAcentral is "tRNA-Ala". It matches the Rfam family "tRNA". Rfam says of the family: Transfer RNA (tRNA) molecules are approximately 80 nucleotides in length. Their secondary structure includes four short double-helical elements and three loops (D, anti-codon, and T loops). Lineage: Eukaryota; Metazoa; Arthropoda; Insecta; Blattodea; Blaberidae. The record is from RNAcentral.
AGGGUAAUAGUUAAGUAUAACAUUUGAUUUGCAUUCAAAAAGUAUUGUGUAAGCAAUUUACCUUA